UCCAACCACUAUCAAAUACACAUCGAUGCAUUCAAUCCGACAAUCCGUAUUAUGGUCAACGCAUUCAAUCCGACAAUCCGAACAACGAUAGUAUGAUUAGCAAUGGAUUUAAAUUUGAUCGAGGUGAAACCCAAUCUGACCCAAUCUAGUCCAUUUACCAUCCUACAUCAUGCAACAUCAUCCAAACCAUUCAUCACAACAUAGUUAUAUCAUACAAAUACAUUAAAUACUUUAUAAAAACCAAAAAACAAACCCGAAAUUUGAACUUCAAAGGUCUCAAGAAGACACGACGACGACGAUGCAAAAGAAAGAGAAAAAUUCAUCAAAAGUAAAGUUACAUACUGCGAGGCGACUCAGUUUGUUAAUUCCAUAAUGGCAGAAACAAUGUCACCGUUUGCUGCUUUGAGUGCCUUAACUGCCCUUGAUCUUGAAACCCCAGCUUGAGUCAUCACCAACUCAAUGUCCUUGGGUUCCACACCAGUUUCGUCUACAUCUUCAUCGUCUUGAGCCAAAGUUGAUGGCUCAGGGUUUGCUGUCACAGCACUUACAUUAGGAGCCUUGAACUGCUCCGCAGCCUGAGUUUGAAGUUGUGAGCUCAAGUCCUCAAUCUUUGCUUCCCCAAAAAUGACAUAUGUGUCGGAUGCGGGGCUCUUAAAAACAUCUGGCUUUGAGAUGACGAAGAGAAUCUGAAAUAACAACCCUUACUAGAUGAAUUCCAUAAAUCAAUCUCAUGGAAGCUGACACAAAAUGCGUGAUAGCAAUAAAAUAAUAAAAAAGCAACAAAUCAACACUUACAUUCUUGCUCUUCUUGACAGUCACACGGCUGACACCUGGAAUUCCUUUCAUUCCAAGUUUCAACAUCGCUUUGCGACUCUUCUUUUCACUUCUGCUCUGCUUAGACCUACCAGUUGCAUCUCCUUGUCCU
RNAcentral lists this long non-coding RNA (925 nucleotides) under Malus domestica (apple). RNAcentral describes it as "long non-coding RNA (MDOM_LNC010722)". The record is from RNAcentral. Lineage: Eukaryota; Viridiplantae; Streptophyta; Magnoliopsida; Rosales; Rosaceae.